Olea europaea var. sylvestris is the source of this 327-nucleotide long non-coding RNA. RefSeq lists it as uncharacterized. NCBI's taxonomy places the organism in Eukaryota, Viridiplantae, Streptophyta, Magnoliopsida, Lamiales, Oleaceae. The record is from RefSeq and is a predicted model, not a curated record. The transcript has 2 exons.
CUAGUAGCUCUGUCUACGAUAGGUAUAACGGUCCGUCAUACGACAGGCACAGGAGUCCUGUAUAUGGGAGGUACAGAAGCAGAUCGCCCAUCCGGAGGUCAAGAACUUGAUGGAAGCAUGAGAAUGGAAUUUGCACAUGAUCUGCUCUCUUAUGCUAUAUAGCAAAUGAGAAAGCUGUACCUUUAGAUACAUCACUUAGAAGAACAAACUUGACUAUUUAACUUUCGGACGACAAUCGUCGAGUUCCUUGGAUGUUUGUUGGUUUGUCUGGAGAAGUUUAGUUCAAGUUACUUCGAUUGGAUGAAAAUUUGGUUUUUAUCUCCUUAA